This is a long non-coding RNA of Carassius gibelio (silver crucian carp), 2103 nucleotides long. RefSeq lists it as uncharacterized. Lineage: Eukaryota; Metazoa; Chordata; Actinopteri; Cypriniformes; Cyprinidae. The record is from RefSeq and is a predicted model, not a curated record. The transcript has 3 exons.
UUCAUUCUCGAGUCAAGAACCGUUUCUGUCAGACGCGUCCGAUUCGAGAACCGAGGAGCUGAUGAUAAUUGCGCAUGUGUGUUUCAGCGUGAAGCAGAAUGACACACAGAGCGUCUGAACUGAACUGAUUCUUUUGGUGAUUGAUUCUGAACUGAUUCUGUGCUAGUGUUAUGAGCCCAGGUAAACCGAAGGCUUGAAUCAAUGACAAUCAUCACCAAUGAUGCCAUUACGUCGAGCGCAAAAGAACCGGUGAACCGUUUUCUUCAACUGGUUUAUUGAAUCGAACUGUCCGAAAGAACUACAGGUGAUCCAAAAAGCCGAUGCAACCGGUUCAGAACGAGUCAAUCUUUUGUUCGUUAUCUGGCUCGGCUCGGUGUUCAUCUUCAGUUCUCUCUUCACAGCAGUUCAGUCAGUGCACUGUUUGAGUAAAUGAAUUACUCCGGAACGUUGGUUUGUUUUAAUUCCAAGGGAGUGUCAGCCACAUAAAAAAAAGUCAUUUGUGGAUUAAUGCUUACUGGGAACUUGAACCUUUUUAAAUGAUUCAGUUCGAUUUGGUGAACUGGUUCAAAAAGUUCCAGCUACAUUGAAUGAUUCGUUCGUGAACCGGAUAUCCCAAACUGCUUUGUUUUGGACUCUCUCACAACAGACCCGGAAAAGAAGACAAUGAUGAAUAAAGUCGUAGUUCUAGCUAUUUUCAGACCAAAAUGUAUUUUCGAUUCUAACUGGCCCUCUGAUGUCACAUGGACUUCUUUGAUGAUGUUUUUCUUACCUUUCUGGACAUGGACAGUAGACCGUACACACAGCUUCAAUGGAGGGUAUGAGAGCUCUCGGACUAAAUCUACAAUAUCUUAAACUGUGUUCUGAAGAUAAACAGAGUUCUCACGGGUUUGAAACAAUGUAAGGGUGAAUUAUUAAUGAAAUCAUUUUUAUUAUUGAAUGAAUUAACCCAUUAAUUAUAUCUGAGAUGACCGUGACCAGUCAGGUGUACCAGUGUACAGCAGACAAAGACAUAUCUGCUCCUGGCGGUGUGGAAGGACAGCUCGUCAUACACUACCACCCCUGAUCUGAAGCUGCUCCGUGUCGACCAUAACUCGGUUACUCUGGAAAGGAUGCCCGGAUUUGAUGGUGGUUUGACACAAAACUUCCGUGUCAGGUACCAGUGGGCGGGAUCAGUGAGAUUCAUGCAGGUGGACGUGUUUCCUCCGACAGCCACUGUGUAUACAGUCACGGGCCUUGACCCUUCCACUACCUCCAACUUUUUUCAGUUAACACUAUCAAAACGAUGUGAGAGAGCAGCUAUACAGACAACAACAAAAUACUGACAGUCACCACCACUUGAGCCUGUAUAAUAAAGCUUACGACACAUAAACUAAAUUAUUCGUCAUUCGGUUUCCGACCAUGGUGGUUUACUUGUAGAUUUAGACACCGGCUUUACUUUCCACUGAUUUGAUGAGCCAUUCAUCAAUCCCACCAAUCACAUCUCAUUUGUAAGGCAAAGAUCACGGCUGAGCCUCAUGCAAAUAAGCCCAAUGGCUGAAUGUCUACACCAAUCAGUGCACCAGUGUGUUUUCUGAAUGCGUAUUUCAGUCUGCAUUUUAUCGGGAUUGCGAGCUAGAGGGAGAAAAAUCGAGCGAUAGAGGGAGAGAGACAGAAAACAAAACCGUGUGAUGUAUGAUAAAUGAUGAUAAGCUACAUUCCCUCUGCAAACAUAAUGAAUUCUGCAAUUGUAAUGUCAUAGCAUUUGAUUUGCAAAACAAAUUAGUCAUGAGCACAGGCAGCUGACAGAAGUACGGAAAAAUCACAACAUGGCUCUGCCACAGAGUUUACUGAUAGCAGAACUGAAAAACCUUACUUAUUUAACAUUUAUCAGCUAUGUAAAGACAAAUUCUGUCAUAUUUGCUUACUAUUGUGUCAUAAGAAAGCUUUUCUGUGUUUUCCAUGGAGCACAAAAUAAUUUUAAGAGCGUCCUUUUCAUACAACAAAAACAUACAGUGUCCAAUGGCUGUCAAGGUCCAAAAAAGCAACAUGAAUGUCAUACAACAGCAAAAUUCAUCAUGGUGGAAUGUAUUGCAUUUAUUCUACCAUUCAGCUACCAUUUUGGGG